UACGAAGGGGGCUAGCGUUGUUCGGAAUCACUGGGCGUAAAGCGUACGUAGGCGGAUUCCUAAGUCGGUGGUGAAAUCCUGGAGCUCAACUCCAGAACUGCCUCCGAUACUGAGAGUCUUCGAGUCCGGGAGAGGUGAGUGGAACUGCGAGUGUAGAGGUGAAAUUCGUAGAUAUUCGCAAGAACACCAGUGGCGAAGGCGGCUCACUGGCCCGGUACUGACGCUGAGGUGCGAAAGCGUGGGGAGCAAACAGG
This 254-nucleotide ribosomal RNA is filed under the name uncultured bacterium. RNAcentral's name for it is "partial 16S ribosomal RNA". It matches the Rfam family "Bacterial small subunit ribosomal RNA", at positions 524 to 776 of the family's 1533-position model. The record is from RNAcentral.